AGAGUUUGAUCCUGGCUCAGAUUGAACGCUGGCGGCAUGCCUUACACAUGCAAGUCGAACGGCAGCACGGGCUUCGGUCUGGUGGCGAGUGGCGAACGGGUGAGUAAUGUAUCGGAACGUACCUUUCAGUGGGGGAUAACGUAGCGAAAGUUACGCUAAUACCGCAUAUUCUGUGAGCAGGAAAGCAGGGGAUCGCAAGACCUUGCGCUGAUUGAGCGGCCGAUAUCAGAUUAGCUAGUUGGUGGGGUAAAGGCCUACCAAGGCUACGAUCUGUAGCGGGUCUGAGAGGAUGAUCCGCCACACUGGAACUGAGACACGGUCCAGACUCCUACGGGAGGCAGCAGUGGGGAAUUUUGGACAAUGGGGGCAACCCUGAUCCAGCCAUGCCGCGUGAGUGAAGAAGGCCUUCGGGUUGUAAAGCUCUUUCGGCCGGGAAGAAAUCGCAUAGGUUAAUACCCUGUGUGGAUGACGGUACCGGAAUAAGAAGCACCGGCUAACUACGUGCCAGCAGCCGCGGUAAUACGUAGGGUGCGAGCGUUAAUCGGAAUUACUGGGCGUAAAGCGUGCGCAGGCGGUUUCGUAAGACAGAGGUGAAAUCCCCGGGCUCAACCUGGGAACUGCCUUUGUGACUGCGAAGCUAGAGUACGGCAGAGGGGGGUGGAAUUCCACGUGUAGCAGUGAAAUGCGUAGAGAUGUGGAGGAACACCGAUGGCGAAGGCAGCCCCCUGGGCCGAUACUGACGCUCAUGCACGAAAGCGUGGGUAGCAAACAGGAUUAGAUACCCUGGUAGUCCACGCCCUAAACGAUGUCAACUAGGUGUUGGGUGGGUAAAACCAUUUAGUACCGUAGCUAACGCGUGAAGUUGACCGCCUGGGGAGUACGGCCGCAAGGUUAAAACUYAAAUGAAUUGACGGGGACCCGCACAAGCGGUGGAUGAUGUGGAUUAAUUCGAUGCAACGCGAAAAACCUUACCUACCCUUGACAUGUUCAGAAUCCCGGAGAGAUUUGGGAGUGCCCGAAAGGGAGCUGGAACACAGGUGCUGCAUGGCUGUCGUCAGCUCGUGUCGUGAGAUGUUGGGUUAAGUCCCGCAACGAGCGCAACCCUUGUCGUUAAUUGCCAUCAUUUAGUUGGGCACUUUAACGAGACUGCCGGUGACAAACCGGAGGAAGGUGGGGAUGACGUCAAGUCCUCAUGGCCCUUAUGGGUAGGGCUUCACACGUCAUACAAUGGUCGGUACAGAGGGUUGCCAAGCCGCGAGGUGGAGCCAAUCCCAGAAAGCCGAUCGUAGUCCGGAUUGCAGGCUGCAACUCGCCUGCAUGAAGUCGGAAUCGCUAGUAAUCGCGGAUCAGCAUGUCGCGGUGAAUACGUUCCCGGGUCUUGUACACACCGCCCGUCACACCAUGGGAGCGGGUUCCGCCAGAAGUAGGUAGCCUAACCGCAAGGGGGGCGCUUACCAUGGCGGGGUUCGUGACUGGGGUGAAGUCGUAACAAGGUAGCCGUAGGGGAACCUGCGGCUGGAUCACCUCCUUUCUAGAGAAGCAUCCUGGCACCCACAACUUAUCGGUUGUUCAUGAGCAGCAAACAGACGAGGGUCUGUAGCUCAGUCGGUUAGAGCACCGUCUUGAUAAGGCGGGGGUCGUUGGUUCGAUUCCAACCAGACCCACCAACGUUUGAAACGGGGGAUUAGCUCAGCUGGGAGAGCACCUGCUUUGCAAGCAGGGGGUCGUCGGUUCGAUCCCGUCAUCCUCCACCAAAACCCAAAGAUAAGCAGCGGUGUUUAUCUUUGGCUUUUGAGAAAUCAAAUUGCUACGCUCUUUAACAAAACGGAAGAAGGUUGUGUAUCGCAGUGAUGAGCUGCUGAUACACGUUGUGAUUGCAUCUGUUCUCGUAUUACAGCUAGUACGAGACAGCACAAAUGAGUUGCCUGUAGCCGGGUCUCUGCCGAGACCCCAAGGUUAUAGGAUCAAGCGACUAAGUGCAUGUGGUGGAUGCCUUGGCGAUCACAGGCGAUGAAGGACGUGCAAGCCUGCGAAAAGCGGGGGGGAGCUGGCAAUGAAGCUUUGAUCCCCCGAUGUCCGAAUGGGGCAACCC
RNAcentral lists this small RNA (2092 nucleotides) under Dechloromonas sp. HZ. RNAcentral describes it as "bacterial SSU rRNA". The stretch from base 1 to 1531 matches the Rfam family "Bacterial small subunit ribosomal RNA". The record is from RNAcentral. Lineage: Bacteria; Pseudomonadati; Pseudomonadota; Betaproteobacteria; Rhodocyclales; Azonexaceae.